This 372-nucleotide ribosomal RNA is filed under the name Triticum aestivum (bread wheat). RNAcentral's name for it is "partial small subunit ribosomal RNA". The record is from RNAcentral. Lineage: Eukaryota; Viridiplantae; Streptophyta; Magnoliopsida; Poales; Poaceae.
AUGGGCUUCGGUAGUCGGUUCUUCCCGGCGUGUCCGAGGUGCUCUUCCGUGUUUGCGGAGGGCAUGUUCGGCGCAAGUCCUGCAUAUUUCCCUUGCGAUGCUUGUCGUCAAAGUCGGAGCUGUCAGUUGCUUGCGCGUGGUGGCCUUAUGUUGGCAUGUGCCGCCAUGGUUCCUGCAGCUGUUUGUGGGUUGGCUUCGACAAUGGAGCUCUACGGUGAAGUCGGAGUCGCCCGUUCGAGGCAACAGGUGAUGACGAUGACACUUGCGACUUCUCGGCGGAUGUUUUUCUUCUUUGCAGCUCCGUGUCUCAUGUCGGUGGCCAGGUUGGCCGGUGGUUCCCAUGUCAUAUGGGUUGGAUUGUAUCAGUUUUAG